UUGUUUCGGCAGCAAAUAUACGAAAAUCGCAACAAUAAAGACAAGGUUAGCAUGGCCACUGAGUAAGGAUGACAAGGCAAGUUUGGGAAUUGUUCCGUAUUUUU
This is a small nuclear RNA of Ornithorhynchus anatinus (platypus), 104 nucleotides long. NCBI's taxonomy places the organism in Eukaryota, Metazoa, Chordata, Mammalia, Monotremata, Ornithorhynchidae. The record is from RefSeq and is a predicted model, not a curated record.